RNAcentral lists this small nuclear RNA (306 nucleotides) under Cavia aperea (Brazilian guinea pig). RNAcentral's name for it is "7SK RNA (ENSCAPG00000001864.1)". It matches the Rfam family "7SK RNA". From Rfam's summary of the family: 7SK was discovered as an abundant small nuclear RNA in the mid-70s but a possible function has only recently been suggested. The record is from RNAcentral. Lineage: Eukaryota; Metazoa; Chordata; Mammalia; Rodentia; Caviidae.
GGAUGUGAGGGAGAGUUGGCUGCCAAAUCUGUGGCCAGCGUUGAUCGGGCUGAUCUGGCUGGCGGGGCCGAGUCCCUUCCUCCCUCCUGCUGCAUAGACGUCCCCAAAGCUGUGCUCAGUGUAACCGGAGGACCUCCCACAGAAAGGAGGCGCAUUUCCGUUUCCGGUCAAGAGUGCAUGGGCAGCUGCAUUUCUCUGCUAGUUCCUCCAAACAAGCUCUCAAAAACCUCUGUAGAUCGCCGCAUGGUGGCGCAGGUCUGUAACCCCAGCACUCAGGAGGCUGAGGCAGGUGGGCUGCCACGAGUU